This 206-nucleotide ribosomal RNA is filed under the name uncultured bacterium. Its description in RNAcentral is "partial 16S ribosomal RNA". It matches the Rfam family "Bacterial small subunit ribosomal RNA", at positions 568 to 774 of the family's 1533-position model. The record is from RNAcentral.
CACGUAGGCGGAUCAGUAAGUUAGAGGUGAAAGCCCAGGGCUCAACCCUGGAACUGCCUUUGAUACUGCUGGUCUGGAGGUCGAGAGAGGUGAGUGGAAUUCCGAGUGUAGAGGUGAAAUUCGUAGAUAUUCGCAAGAACACCAGUGGCGAAGGCGGCUCACUGGGCCAUUACUGACGCUGAGGCACGAAAGCUGGGGAGCAAACA